Molecule: long non-coding RNA, 1421 nt
Organism: Epinephelus lanceolatus (giant grouper)
Lineage: Eukaryota; Metazoa; Chordata; Actinopteri; Perciformes; Serranidae
Source: RefSeq, a predicted model, not a curated record
CCCAAAGAAGAAGAAGAGUGAGACGUUUCAGACUGCACAUGCGCAAGGCCUCAAGUUGUUGUCGUUUUUUUGUCGUCGAGAAAGGUGAAGGAGAUACCUUUAGCUGCUGUUGAAGCUUGCGUCUACUUUUGAGUACAUGAUUCACCAUAUCAUUAUAUGUCCUGAAUGAUGGUCCAUUGAUCAUUUGUGCUCCCUCCUGUCUGGACAAGGCUUUGUACUCAUAACAGAUUCUGGCCUUUAUCUGCUCCCUCCCUCAUUAAUGUGGUGUAGGCGGCACUGCUGAGCUUGCACAUGAAUGAAACUGUCAAAAGAAAGAGGGAGUGCGUCCUGAAGGCACUUUGUGUCUAUCUGAAUGAAGACCCAGACAUCCUCUUCAAGGAAUACCUGGAUUCCGAUCCUACUACUCAAGGGGAGGUUGAACAAAUUCUCCAUGGCAUCUACAGCAUCACUGUUGAAGGAGGUGAUGCCGCCAUUCCUCCAGCUGAUGUGGGAAUCGUGAUCGAGGGUGUUGAAGUUCUACAUGACUUGGGAGACAUUGCCACUGCAUGUGCACUCUUGAUGGGUGUAAUCUAUGCACUGAACCUCAGUUAUCCUCAAGAACUGAAAGCCUUCUUUGAAGUGCUUCAGAAGAUCUUUCUUCAACUGGAUGCUUCAAGACUCUCAACAAAGGUACAGGUGCUCAAAAACAAACUGUUUGAAUGAGCCAACCAUUGAUUUGCAUACUGAAUGUUAUGCGGAAUAGGCACAAUUCUAUUUUGGAUCAAAACUGAAUAAAGUGAAAAGUAGUCUUGUGGUAAAACUGAGUUCCAAGUUACAAGAAUUGAGAAGUGAAUUGAAAGGCCAAUGUUGACAGCAGCAAGUGUGGUGUUAGAUUUUUAGACCAUUAUGCUGUUUGAAUUUUUUUUGAAAACACCAAGCCUGUCAUGUUAGACCAAAAUAUUGUCAAAAGGAUGUUUUUUGUUCUAUGUUGUAUGUGUUAUGCUGCAUAAAGGCAGUUUACAGAUGUCCAUGGACUAUCGUGUACCAUAAUGUUGCCAACUGAGUUUAUUUGGAUGGAUGCAACAAAUGGUUAUUUUCAUUAGUGAUUAAUCUGUCCAUUUUUUUCUAUUGGUUGUCACUUUGAGAAUCUGUGAUUGGCAUUUUUGACUUGAUACACCAAGGUGUAAAACCUUAUGUUUUAUUUUGUCACAACCAAUAGUCCACAACCCAAAGAUAGGUGGUUUACUGUCAGAGGACUAAAUAAACCAGAAAGUAUUUACAUUUAAAGGGAUAGUUUGGGUUUUUUGAAGAGGGGUUGUAUGAAGUACUUGUACAUAGUCAGUGUAUACCUGCGUUAAAAAUGUCAUAAUGUUGUUUUUGGACCAAGUGCACCAAAAUGCUAAUGUUAAAUGCGUUGGUGAAUAAAGGAAUUAACAAAAAUA